Molecule: ribosomal RNA, 253 nt
Filed under: uncultured bacterium
Lineage: Bacteria
Description: partial 16S ribosomal RNA
Rfam family: Bacterial small subunit ribosomal RNA
Source: RNAcentral
UACGAAGGGGGCUAGCGUUGUUCGGAAUUACUGGGCGUAAAGCGCACGUAGGCGGAUAUUUAAGUCAGGGGUGAAAUCCCAGAGCUCAACUCUGGAACUGCCUUUGAUACUGGGUAUCUAGAGUAUGGAAGAGGUGAGUGGAAUUCCGAGUGUAGAGGUGAAAUUCGCAGAUAUUCGGAGGAACACCAGUGGCGAAGGCGGCUCACUGGUCAAUUCCUGACGCUGAGGUGCGAAAGCGUGGGGAGCAAACAGG